Cryptomeria japonica (Japanese cedar) is the source of this 2313-nucleotide RNA transcript. It is a transcript of the gene named fructokinase-like 1, chloroplastic, with no coding region annotated. The transcript has 7 exons. The record is from RefSeq and is a predicted model, not a curated record. NCBI's taxonomy places the organism in Eukaryota, Viridiplantae, Streptophyta, Pinopsida, Cupressales, Cupressaceae.
CAAACACCUUUUUAGACAAAUCACACAAUUAGUAAUGUGGUUGUAAGAGGGAUUUCCCCCUCACCACGCGCACGUACAAACGUGAAAAUUAAAAUGCAAAUUAUAAUUACUGUGAAUGAGAGCAGGAAUCACAGAAAUCUAGAUACGGCAAUGAACGCAAGCCAAAGCUUAUCAGCCUUUUUUGAAAAUUUUGGAGGGGGAAGGAAGCAUGAGAUGCGGGCAUUUCAAAUGGAGUAACAACAUAUGACGCUGAAGACGCUAUGCAGCCAUUGAUGGGCACUUCAUCUUUCUUCAGAGGCGGCGCUGGCGCUUGCACUUGCACUUGCAUCUGCCCCCCUAUCUUACCCACUUUUCAAUUUCAUUCGCUGUUGCCCAGUGUACGCGUGAAGCUGCAUACAACCAUUCAUAAACAUAAAGCCGCAAGAGCAUCGCCUACAUACAUUUUCGAGGCUAUUCAAAAUAGGGGUAACUCUAUUUCUGUAGCAAAGAAGAUAGGCAGGAGAAAUAAUAGUGAAGAUUCAAAAUCUGAAGAAGCAGACAGUGUGACAGAUGGAGGAAACGGUCACAGGGGAAAUAUCAGCAUAGAGACAGAACUUGUACUGUCAGAUGGUGAGGGGGAUGCACAGAGAGAUGAAUUUCUUGAGUUAGAUCUACAGGUGGAAGAAAAUGAUGAAGGAAAUAAUAAUAACGUUGCGUUUAACUGGCCACCUUUGGUGUGCUGUUUUGGGGCAGCACAAAGCAAGUUUACUCCCAUUUCAGCCAGAUAUGUGUCUGCAGACCUUCAUUUAUCACCAAAUAGCCUGGAAUGCAAUCCUGCAUAUUUGGUAAGGGCACGAGGUGGACCCCCUUCUAAUGUGGCUAUCAAACUUGCUAGAUUAGGACGUAGAGUAGCAUUUAUGGGUAAAGUUGGAAAUGAUGCAUAUGGUCGUCAAAUGGUGAUCACCUUGAAUAUGAACAAUGUCCAAACUCGUGGUUUACAAGUUGACUCCUCAUCAUCCACUUCAAUUUCCUAUAUGAAACUGAAUCAUCGAGAUAGCAAAGUGGGGAUAACGUGCAUCAAACCAUGUGCUGAGGACUCUCUUCUUAGUUCUGAGAUAAAUGAGGACAUACUGAGAGAGGCUAGGAUGUUUCAUUUCAACUCUAUGUCUCUUCUUACCAAACCCAUGCAAUCAACACUUUUUGCUGCAAUCAAAUUCUCAAAGAAGUGUGGUGGUGAUAUAUUCUUUGAUGUAAAUUUACCUUUACCCCUUUGGAGGCCUCAGGAAGAGACAUGGAAGAUUAUUCAGAAAGCAUGGAAUUAUUCAAAUGUUAUCAUGGUAAGCAAGCAAGAGUUGGAGUUUUUGCUUGACAAGGAUUAUUUCAAGAGAACUAUCAGGAAACAGUACAAAAAAGUGGAACUGCUAGAGUGUGACCCUCAUACUCCGGAGGAACUUUCAUCAUUAUGGCAUGAUGACCUAAAGAUUCUGCUUGUGAAUGAUGGUGCGAAACUACACUACUACACAACAUUAUAUUAUGGUUCGGUACCAGGGAUUGAAGAUCCCUUUUUGACUGGAUUUAGUUAUGACAGAUCUGCUGGCAGUGAUGCUUUUAUUGCAGAGAUAAUGAGUAGAUUGGUCAUCCAACCAGAAAUUUAUAGGAAUCACGUUCAAUUGCAUAAUGUAAUAAGGAAUGCAAGCAUAUUGCAUAGCUAUUCAAUAAGGGAGGAAAAUAUGCAAUGGAGGAGAAGGCUGCAGAAAUUUGGCCUGGAAAGUAGAUAUGCUUUAAUUUUUUGGUGUAAAAUACCAUGUACAUAUAUUCACUCAAUCUCUUCCCCAAUGGACCUCAUGCUAGACCCCUAAGAGAUAUCUGCAGAGCUAGUGCGGGGUUUGGAAUUUUGAAUGAUUAAAUUCAGGUCCAUAGGAAGAGCUUGACAUGGUAGAUUGUUAACACUAAGAAAAAGUACACUAAGAAGGGAACUUUAAAAUCAAAAGCAGAUUCAUCCGGGACUUGCACCUGACCUCAUCUAUUGUGAUACACUAUACCCAGUGAGUUUGAUGGAUAUUUUACUGUAUUUCGACAGAUCAUGUCUCCCCAGAUUUCAAUUUGGGGAUUAGUUCAUUUUAUUAUUAUUAUAUUUUUACCCUAGAUAUUUCUAGAAAACAAAGUAGGGAUAGCUAGUUAGUCAAGAAGGUUGUAGGUUUCCCAGUUGAAAUGAUGUAAUUUUUUGAUUCAUUUUUAGGUUGUCAAGUGUGGGUUGUAGGAGUCUACAACACUUAAAUCUUCUUGUAAAAAAUCAAUGAAUAUAAGGGCUCCAAGUUCUGCCCAUUAAUAAUA